UACGUAGGGUGCAAGCGUUAAUCGGAAUUACUGGGCGUAAAGCGUGCGCAGGCGGUUUUGUAAGUCAGAUGUGAAAUCCCCGGGCUUAACCUGGGAACUGCGUUUGAAACUACAAGGCUAGAGUGUGGCAGAGGGGGGUGGAAUUCCACGUGUAGCAGUGAGAUGCGUAGAGAUGUGGAGGAACACCGAUGGCGAAGGCAGCCCCCUGGGUUAACACUGACGCUCAGGCACGAAAGCGUGGGGAGCAAACAGG
RNAcentral lists this ribosomal RNA (253 nucleotides) under uncultured bacterium. RNAcentral's name for it is "partial 16S ribosomal RNA". It matches the Rfam family "Bacterial small subunit ribosomal RNA", at positions 524 to 776 of the family's 1533-position model. The record is from RNAcentral.